CCUAGAAGAACAUAAUUCUAGGAACAUAAUUCUAGGAACAUAAUUCUUUAGUUAAUAUUUGUUUGCAGUUUUCUCCUUUAAUAUUCUAGAAGCACUUAUCCAUGGCCAACACAAUAUUACCAUCCAAUUAUAUAAACCCAAAUGUUUAUCCAAGGAAGCAACUCUAAUACUCUAUGGAUCCUUCUGAUUCCAUGUAUCAACCUAUACAAAAACUACCGUUGGUGUGAUGAUAUCAUUGUCUCUGACUCUCUGUUUCAUUUGUCAUAUACUUCAGAGAAGUUUAGACAAACAAGCCUCAUCGACUUCGAAUUCCAAAUUGUACGAUUCCAUCUAUAAUUUAAUCAAAAAGAAAGAUAACCAGAUCAGAGUUGAACUGAUAAAAGGAGAGCUGGCUUGUAAGAUUUCGUAGAAAGAG
Molecule: long non-coding RNA, 415 nt
Filed under: Brassica napus (rape)
Lineage: Eukaryota; Viridiplantae; Streptophyta; Magnoliopsida; Brassicales; Brassicaceae
Description: long non-coding RNA (BNAP_LNC013099)
Source: RNAcentral